Molecule: ribosomal RNA, 502 nt
Filed under: uncultured bacterium
Lineage: Bacteria
Description: bacterial SSU rRNA
Rfam family: Bacterial small subunit ribosomal RNA
Source: RNAcentral
ACUCAAAGGAAUUGACGGGGGCUCGCACAAGCGGUGGAGCAUGUGGUUUAAUUCGACGCAACGCGAAAAACCUUACCCGCUUUUGACAUAGAGGUUAUCGGUCCAAGAGAUUGGAUCUUCGGUUCGGCCGGACCUCAUACAGGUGCUGCAUGGCUGUCGUCAGCUCGUGUCGUGAGAUGUUGGGUUAAGUCCCGCAACGAGCGCAACCCUCGUCUGUAGUUACCAGCACGUAAUGGUGGGCACUCUACAGAGACUGCCGUUGAUAAGACGGAGGAAGGUGGGGAUGAUGUCAAGUCCUCAUGGCCCUUAUAAGCGGGGCUACACAUGUGCUACAAUGGCGGUGACAAUGAGAUGCGAAGGGGCGACCCGGAGCAAACCUCUAAAAAACCGUCUCAGUUCGGAUUGCACUCUGCAACUCGAGUGCAUGAAGUUGGAAUCGCUAGUAAUCGCGGAUCAGCACGCCGCGGUGAAUACGUUCUCGGGCCUUGUACACACCGCCCGU